Molecule: small RNA, 1262 nt
Filed under: Pongo abelii (Sumatran orangutan)
Lineage: Eukaryota; Metazoa; Chordata; Mammalia; Primates; Hominidae
Description: retained intron
Source: RNAcentral
CUUCGCCGCCGGCCGACGGGCGCCAUUGUGCGGCGCGCGCCGGGACUCUGCCCACUUCCACCAAAGACACAGUGAGAAGGAGGAAACUAUGGCCUCAAGGCUUCCGACGGCCUGGUCCUGUGAACCAGUGACCUUUGAAGAUGUAACACUGGGUUUUACCCCGGAAGAGUGGGGACUGCUGGACCUCAAACAGAAGUCCCUGUACAGGGAAGUGAUGCUGGAGAACUACAGGAACCUGGUCUCAGUGGAACAUCAGCUUUCCAAACCAGAUGUGGUAUCUCAGUUAGAGGAGGCAGAAGAUUUCUGGCCAGUGGAGAGAGGAAUUCCUCAAGACACCAUUCCAGAGUAUCCUGAGCUCCAGCUGGACCCUAAAUUGGAUCCUCUUCCUGCUGAGAGUCCCCUGAUGAACAUUGAGGUUGUUGAGGUCCUCACACUGAACCAGGAGGUGGCCGGUCCCCGGAAUGCCCAGAUCCAGGCCCUAUAUGCUGAAGAUGGAAGCCUGAGCGCAGAUGCCCCCAGUGAGCAGGUCCAACAGCAGGGCAAGCAUCCAGGUGACCCUGAGGCUGCGCGCCAGAGGUUCCGGCAGUUCCGUUAUAAGGACAUGACAGGUCCCCGGGAGGCCCUGGACCAGCUCCGAGAGCUGUGUCACCAGUGGCUACAGCCUAAGGCACGCUCCAAGGAGCAGAUCCUGGAGCUGCUGGUGCUGGAGCAGUUCCUAGGUGCACUGCCUGUGAAGCUCCGGACAUGGGUGGAAUCACAGCACCCAGAGAACUGCCAAGAGGUGGUGGCCCUGGUAGAGGGUGUGACCUGGAUGUCUGAGGAGGAAGUACUUCCUGCAGGACAACCUGCCGAGGAUACCACCUGCUGCCUCGAGGUCACUGCCCAGCAGGAGGAGAAGCAGAAGGAGGAUGCGGCCAUCUGCCCAGUGACAGUGCUCUCUGAGGUAAGCGGGGAGUAUCACCCUGUUUUGGUCACAGCAUCUCCUGUGAGGCAGGCCCACCCCUGAGGUAUCCACUCUGCCCUGGGCUUUCCUAAGACCUCCCACAGGCUGGGGCAUUCUGAGAUUCUGAGCUCUUAGGUCUGUGCUGAAGCAAUCUGAGUAUGAAGAGCAGCCCUGCCCUCCAGCCGCUGUGGCAUCAUUGGAGACAAGGCAUGGUGACCCAGGAGCUGAGAAAGGAGGAGGCAAAAGGGAAGGGACUAAGUGUUUACAGAGACUUGAGAGGUGGAACUACCACAGGCAGGCACAUCGGUAUCCAGGUCAG